This is a non-coding RNA of Cucurbita pepo subsp. pepo (vegetable marrow), 403 nucleotides long. Lineage: Eukaryota; Viridiplantae; Streptophyta; Magnoliopsida; Cucurbitales; Cucurbitaceae. The record is from RefSeq and is a predicted model, not a curated record.
ACCCUUAUAAAGAAUGUUUCGUUCUCUUCUCCAACUAAUGUGGGGUCUCACACAUAAUCCACAGGCUUAUCUUUAUUCAUUAUUACAUUCAUCCAUACUCUUCGAUGUUUACCUUCAUCACUUUUCAUAAUCACAGGAGUGGCAUAUUUGACAUUGGUUCAUAGCAAAUUUACUGCUUUCCACCGUUUGCUAAGGCAUUCAAACAUCUUAAUGCACGAGGAAUUCAGCCUGCUGUUCUUUAUCCAGCAGUCAAUGUAUAUCAGUUUGAUGAGUCCCAUUCUUCUAUUUCAACCUUUGCCAAGCUCGGCACAGUUGAAGGAGGCAUUCUUCAAGAUUACAAUGUAGCUGAUGUUUCCAUAGUCAUUGUUGGCGAGUCUCAACCAUUUUCCCUGUCACCGUUCAA